UACGUAGGGGGCAAGCGUUGUCCGGAUUCAUUGGGCGUAAAGAGCGUGUAGGCGGCCAGGUAGGUCGGUUGUGAAAACUGGAGGCUCAACCUUCAGAGGUCGACCGAAACCAUCUGGCUAGAGUCCGGGAGAGGAGAGUGGAAUUCCUGGUGUAGCGGUGAAAUGCGCAGAUAUCAGGAAGAACACCCGUGGCGAAAGCGGCUCUCUGGAACGGUACUGACGCUGAGACGCGAAAGCGUGGGGAGUGAACAGG
Molecule: ribosomal RNA, 253 nt
Filed under: uncultured bacterium
Lineage: Bacteria
Description: partial 16S ribosomal RNA
Rfam family: Bacterial small subunit ribosomal RNA
Source: RNAcentral